Molecule: ribosomal RNA, 52 nt
Filed under: Leontodon x grassiorum
Lineage: Eukaryota; Viridiplantae; Streptophyta; Magnoliopsida; Asterales; Asteraceae
Description: partial 28S ribosomal RNA
Source: RNAcentral
ACCGCGACCCCAGGUAAGGCGGGCAUACCCGCUGAGUUUAAGCNUAUCAAUA